AACCUUAAUUUAAUUCUAGUUAAAACCCUAUUGAAUUUCACUCAAACUUUAGACCAAACCUAAUUAAAUCUUAACCCCUAAUAAAUCCUAAACACUAAGUCAAAUCCUAAACAAACCUUAAAUUAAACCCUAAAUCAAACCCUAUUUCAAACCCUAAACCCUAAACCAAACUCUAAAUCAAACCCUAAAUCAAACCCCAAAAAUCCUAAUCCAAACUCUAAUCCAACCUUAAAUCCUAAUUCAAACCCUAAACUCUAAACCAAACUCUAAUCCAACCCUAAAUCUUAAUCCAAAUCCUAAACCCUAAACCAAACCUUGAAUCAAAUCCUAAUCCAAAUCCUAAAUCAAACCCUAACCAAAUCCUAAACCCUAAUCCAAAUCCUAAAUCAAACCCUAACCAAAUCCUAAACCCUAAUCCAAAUCCUAAAUCAAACCUUAACCAAAUCCUAAACCCUAAUCCAAAUCCUAAUCCAAACCCUAAAUCAAACCCUAACCAAAUCCUAAAUCCUAACCUAAAUCCUAAUCCAAUCCUAAAUCCUAACCAAAUCCUAAAUCCUAAUCCAAACCCUAAUCCAAAUCCUAAAUCAAAUCCUAACCAAACUCUAAUCCAAAUCCUAAAUCAAACCCUAACCAAACUCUAAACCCUAAUCCAAAUCCUAAUCCAAACCCUAAUCCAAAUCCUAAACUCUAAAUCAAACUCUAAAUCGAACCCUAGCCAAACCCAAAUCCAAAUCCUAGUAAUUCCUAUGACAGAUUUAAACCUCAAUAUCUAAUGAAUAAACCGUUGAUCUCAAUUCAAAAUUUUCAUACUUCUUAAAAAUCAAGUUUAAAACAAGUACAAAAAAAUUUGAAAAGGAUCGGAGUUACCAAAUUAAUGAAAACCUCAAAAAUGUGUUCGGGUGUUAGACGGCCUCCUUCUCCAAUCUUGAUGCCAAUCUUCCAGAGCCAAUUUCUCUUCUUUGCAUUGUUUGAUUGGUUUCAAAUUUCUCAUAGAUAUAGAAAACCAAGUCUAAUACCCUCUCACAUAAGUUUUACUCCAAUCUAACUAGUGGAUUGCAUGAAAUCUUAAAAACCCUCACUAGACCUAAAAUUCUACUUUCUGAGAC
Molecule: long non-coding RNA, 1106 nt
Filed under: Physcomitrium patens
Lineage: Eukaryota; Viridiplantae; Streptophyta; Bryopsida; Funariales; Funariaceae
Description: long non-coding RNA (PPAT_LNC000721)
Source: RNAcentral